RNAcentral lists this ribosomal RNA (834 nucleotides) under Lactobacillus sp. A5. Its description in RNAcentral is "bacterial SSU rRNA". It matches the Rfam family "Bacterial small subunit ribosomal RNA", at positions 66 to 862 of the family's 1533-position model. Lineage: Bacteria; Bacillati; Bacillota; Bacilli; Lactobacillales; Lactobacillaceae. The record is from RNAcentral.
ACGAGUUCUCGUUGAUGAUCGGUGCUUGCACCGAGAUUCAACAUGGAACGAGUGGCGGACGGGUGAGUAACACGUGGGUAACCUGCCCUUAAGUGGGGGAUAACAUUUGGAAACAGAUGCUAAUACCGCAUAGAUCCAAGAACCGCAUGGUUCUUGGCUGAAAGAUGGCGUAAGCUAUCGCUUUUGGAUGGACCCGCGGCGUAUUAGCUAGUUGGUGAGGUAAUGGCUCACCAAGGCGAUGAUACGUAGCCGAACUGAGAGGUUGAUCGGCCACAUUGGGACUGAGACACGGCCCAAACUCCUACGGGAGGCAGCAGUAGGGAAUCUUCCACAAUGGACGCAAGUCUGAUGGAGCAACGCCGCGUGAGUGAAGAAGGCUUUCGGGUCGUAAAACUCUGUUGUUGGAGAAGAAUGGUCGGCAGAGUAACUGUUGUCGGCGUGACGGUAUCCAACCAGAAAGCCACGGCUAACUACGUGCCAGCAGCCGCGGUAAUACGUAGGUGGCAAGCGUUAUCCGGAUUUAUUGGGCGUAAAGCGAGCGCAGGCGGUUUUUUAAGUCUGAUGUGAAAGCCCUCGGCUUAACCGAGGAAGCGCAUCGGAAACUGGAAAACUUGAGUGCAGAAGAGGACAGUGGAACUCCAUGUGUAGCGGUGAAAUGCGUAGAUAUAUGGAAGAACACCAGUGGCGAAGGCGGCUGUCUGGUCUGUAACUGACGCUGAGGCUCGAAAGCAUGGGUAGCGAACAGGAUUAGAUACCCUGGUAGUCCAUGCCGUAAACGAUGAAUGCUAGGUGUUGGAGGGUUUCCGCCCCUUCAGUGCCGCAGCUAACGCAUUA